This is a long non-coding RNA of Rhinichthys klamathensis goyatoka, 197 nucleotides long. RefSeq lists it as uncharacterized. The transcript has 3 exons. NCBI's taxonomy places the organism in Eukaryota, Metazoa, Chordata, Actinopteri, Cypriniformes, Leuciscidae. The record is from RefSeq and is a predicted model, not a curated record.
GGAGAUCAGCGACGCGGGGGUUUUCAAAUGGACAGAAGAACACGUGUGUGUUUAUCCGGUGGAGAGUGGCUCAUGAUGCUGAAUGCUGUCAUCAAAGGCUAAAGCUUUUGUGGUGGAGCAGGACCUGCAAGGAAAGAUGAUGGCAGCAUUUGUUGGGGAAAAAAAGGUUUUAGGGAUUUUACUCAAAUAUAAAGGUC